AUAUUGGCGAGAGACCGAUAGCGAACAAGUACCGUGAGGGAAAGAUGAAAAGCACUUUGGAAAGAGAGUAAAACAGUACGUGAAAUUGUUGAAAGGGAAACGCUUGAAGUCAGUCGCGUCUGCCGGAACUCAGCCUUGCUUCUGCUUGGUGCACUUUCCGGUAUGACGGGCCAGCAUCGGUUUCGAGCGGCGGACACUGGCUUGGGGAAGGUGGCGACUCCGGUCGUGUUAUAGCCCCUUGUCGCGAACGUCGCCCGGGACCGAGGAAUCCGGCGCAAGCCUGGGAUGCUGGCGUAAUGGCUUUAAACGACCCGUCUUGAAA
This 322-nucleotide ribosomal RNA is filed under the name uncultured fungus. RNAcentral's name for it is "LSU rRNA". It matches the Rfam family "Eukaryotic large subunit ribosomal RNA", at positions 320 to 659 of the family's 3401-position model. The record is from RNAcentral. Lineage: Eukaryota; Fungi.